GGCUCAGUAGCCAGUGUAGAUCCUGUCUUUUGUAAUCAGCAGCUACAUCUGGCUACUGGGUCUC
MicroRNA precursor from Castor canadensis (American beaver), 64 nucleotides. The record is from Ensembl. Lineage: Eukaryota; Metazoa; Chordata; Mammalia; Rodentia; Castoridae.